RNAcentral lists this long non-coding RNA (325 nucleotides) under Setaria viridis. Its description in RNAcentral is "long non-coding RNA (SVIR_LNC009442)". Lineage: Eukaryota; Viridiplantae; Streptophyta; Magnoliopsida; Poales; Poaceae. The record is from RNAcentral.
GUAAUUGCUGCAGAUCAAAAGCCAUUGGGUGUUGCUCAGAAGUACCCAACCUUUCCUUGUAAGAUUCCCAAAGAAUAGAUUCCUUGAUAUGAUGACUAGUUUGAGGCCGGGCUUGUGCAUCUUCUAAAUGUCUAAUGAAGUUCUUUCUAUGUUUGAUGGUAGCAUUUGCAUAGAAAAACUUUGUAGACUCAUCCCCAAACUAUACACAUUUAAUUGCCCCUCUUUGUUUCCAAUAAUUUUUUUGUUGGCGCAGGAGUGAUUGCAAUUUCUUUGCCAAAGUGUCUCUGAAAUUCCACUCCAUCAAAGAGAGAUCCCUAUACUCCUC